Long non-coding RNA from Nerophis ophidion (straightnose pipefish), 1569 nucleotides. RefSeq lists it as uncharacterized. NCBI's taxonomy places the organism in Eukaryota, Metazoa, Chordata, Actinopteri, Syngnathiformes, Syngnathidae. The transcript is spliced from 4 exons. The record is from RefSeq and is a predicted model, not a curated record.
AUAAGCGCAGAAAAAGCAGAUAAGGAAGGAACAUGACAUUCGCAUAUUUUUGUGACAUUAUUUGCACUUCUUCUGAGCCUCGGGUGUCAAAGUCAAAACCCCUGGGGGCCGCUGCAUUUUAUCUGGCCUGCAAACAUGUACCUCGCUGUCACGGCGCGGAUUCGAACUCUCUUCCCUAAGCAACUGAGUGUCACAGUUCAUCCUCUGGCUGCUCGCCCUUACACGCCCCCCGCUCACGCUGAGCGCAGCACACCCACGCAGCGAAAAGCCAGCAGAUAAUCGUCAAUCUGCACACCUGGGAAUGAUGACGGCGAGCUGGAUAAAGGAACAUUGGACCCAAGAAUCCAUGCGUGAACUUAGUUUACCUUUUUGGAUACCUUCGCUUGGUGUACCAUCCUUCCUGAGUCUUAACCAUUGUGCUCCCUUGUGAUUUGGACUGCCUUCCUCGAUCCCCAAUUUGGACUCUGAUCUCUUGACGUCUCUCUCGUGCCCUGGAUCAUCUUCUGUCUUCCUUUCUUGUUCCCUCUCCUCGUUUCAACAUCACGCACAGUGACAAGGCCAUUUGUAGGCCACGACACCCCAAACACUGCACCGCCGCGUUUUGUGCGAGAGUGACAGACAGCUGGCCUCCGGGGGAGGCGGGAGCUGGAAAUGUUGCUGACACAAACAUGACUGGAAGACGAAAAAAGCGGAGGCUUGGUUGGGAAGACGGAGUCAGAGUUUUACCAAAGAAAGUCUUUCUCAGAAUCCUUUCUCAUAUGUUGUUUGUGUAAUAUUUGAUCAUUACUUCCUGUUUGUCUUUUACCUUUACCUUCUCUCCCUUGUCCUGCCAGCACACCUGUUCCUCAUCGUUAAUUAGUUCCAGUUACUUCUACCUCGUCCCUUCCUUCAGAGCCGGUUUGUUAUCUGGUGUUGCUUUCCAAGACCCGUGUCACUCGUCUUCUGUCCGGUCCCGCACUAAACAACCGUCUGCCUGCACGCCGUCUACUUUCUCUGCAUCCUGGGGUCGUGCCAACAGCAUGGUCACAAUGCAAGUGGUAUCCUGUUAUCCUGCAGGCGGAGAGCUCAGAUACACAAUUUUGGGGAGUGUUUGGUGUCAGUCUGGGCUUAUUUGGGCGUCCUCAGACAAUGAGCGAGAGACGUCCAGCCCGGCUGUCUCAACAACUUCCUGUGCCGCCGCAGUCAGGAUGGAGACAGUCAGGGACGCCUUUAUUUUCAGAACACCGAAAAAGUUGAGGCCGUAAAGAAAAAAGGUGACAGGAAGUGAGGUGCUAUUUCCUGUCACUGAACAUUUCUGCUAAAGUCAACUUAGACACAGAAAAGUUGAUGGAAACUAUGAAGCAAAAACGCUAAAACAUGCGUCAAAGAAACAUUUCACUUCCCUUUAUUUCCACUUUGCUUCCCCUUUUUUUGUUUUAUUUAAAUAGACCUACCUAUGAGUCUCAAGCGUGGGGGUGUCCAAACUUCUUCCAGCAAAGUCUGCAUACUGAAAAGUAUUUUUUGAUAUGAUGUGUGAAUUAAAAAUACUAAAAACAAACAAAUACACACACAAAAUUCAUAUAUAUAUAC